UCGCCGCCGCCACCACCAUACAAGUAUGAAUCGCCUCCUCCACCACCAUAUAAGUACGAAUCGCCACCGCCACCACCAUACAAGUACGAGUCGCCUCCUCCACCUCCGUACAAGUAUGAAUCGCCUCCUCCCCCACCAUACUACUACAAAUCACCACCACCACCUCCUUACAAGUAUGAAUCUCCCCCUCCACCUCCAUAUUACUACAAAUCUCCACCCCCGCCACCACCUUACUACUACAAAUCACCACCACCACCUUCUCCUGUCUACAAAUAUAAAUCUCCACCACCACCACCUUACAAGUACGAAUCUCCUCCUCCACCUCCAUACUAUUACAAGUCUCCACCACCACCGCCGUAUUACUACAAGUCUCCACCACCACCACCUCCAGUUUACAAAUACAAAUCUCCUCCUCCGCCACCAUAUUACUACAAAUCACCACCUCCUCCAUCACCAGUAUAUUACUACAAAUCUCCUCCUCCACCAGCGUAUUACUACAAAUCUCCCCCACCGCCUGUCUACUAUUACAAAUCCCCGCCACCUCCAGCUUACCACUACCAAUCGCCACCCCCACCAAGUUACAAGCUGGUAGUGGUCACGGGCAAGGUCUAUUGCAACAGAUGCUGGAACACCACAAGCAGAUACCUUCAGGCAUCACCACAUGGGUCUGCUAGGUACAUUCUCAAUUGCAUUGUAUUCGAUAUUGUUCUCCUCACUCAUUUCCUCUUGAUACUGUGUGCAAUAAUGCAGGUGGCAAAGUGAAGAUCACAUGUGGCGAAUCUUACUACUACGGCUACACCAACAAGCAUGGAAUCUUUAGAAUUGAGCUCCCGCACCAAUCCUGGGAAGAAGCAAGCAGCUGCAAGGCCAAGAUUAUCAAGAGCAGCUACAUCAAGUCGUCAUGCAAUGUCAUCACGGACUACAGGUCUGGUGCAACAGGGGCCAAGCUCAAGUUCAAAUCGAAAACAGAGAAGGAGCUCGUCUUGACAGCCGGUCCUUUCAUCUAUGCAACUCCAGAGCCAUCGUCAGUCUGCUUCUACACAUCACCUCCCUAUGAGUACAAGUCACCUCCGCCACCAACACCGGUCUACCAUUACGCCUCUCCGCCACCUCCGGUCUACUACUACAAAUCGCCACCUCCUCCUUCACCGGUUUACUACUACAAAUCCCCUCCUCCUCCUUCGCCGGUCUACUAUUACAAAUCCCCGCCUCCACCACCAUACUAUUACAAGUCCCCACCUCCACCUCCGCCUAAGUAUUACUACAAGUCGCCCCCACCACCGUCUCCAUACUAUUACAAAUCCCCGCCCCCUCCACCGUACUAUUACAAAUCCCCACCACCACCUCCCUACAAAUACGAAUCGCCGCCGCCUCCUCCUUACAAAUACGAGUCCCCACCUCCACCACCUUACUAUUACAAGUCCCCACCACCACCUCCAUACAAAUAUGAAUCCCCGCCACCUCCAGUCUACAAAUAUGAGUCUCCGCCACCCCCAGUUUACAAAUACAAGUCGCCACCACCACCAUACAAGUACGAGUCACCACCACCACCUCCAUACAAGUAUGAAUCCCCGCCACCUCCACCUUAUUACUACAAGUCCCCUCCACCACCACCAUACAAGUACGAGUCGCCACCACCUCCUCCGUACAAGUAUGAAUCUCCACCACCACCAGUUUACAAAUACAAGUCACCUCCGCCGCCACCUUAUUACUACAAAUCCCCACCGCCACCUCCAUACAAGUACGAGUCUCCACCUCCUCCUCCGUACAAGUAUGAAUCUCCACCACCACCACCUUAUUACUACAAAUCCCCCCCGCCACCUCCAUACAAGUACGAGUCACCGCCUCCUCCUCCGUACAAGUAUGAAUCUCCACCACCGCCAGUUUACAAAUACAAGUCACCCCCGCCACCACCUUAUUACUACAAAUCCCCGCCACCACCUCCAUACAAGUACGAGUCUCCACCUCCUCCUCCGUACAAGUAUGAAUCUCCACCACCACCUCCUUAUUACUACAAAUCCCCGCCGCCACCUCCCUACAAGUAUGAAUCCCCGCCACCACCUCCCUACAAAUACGAGUCACCUCCACCACCACCUUACUAUUACAAAUCUCCUCCACCGCCUCCAUACAAGUAUGAGUCGCCACCACCACCAGUCUACAAAUACGAGUCUCCGCCACCCCCAGUUUACAAAUACAAGUCGCCCCCUCCACCUUAUUACUACAAGUCUCCGCCACCCCCGCCAUACAAAUAUGAAUCCCCACCUCCACCUCCCUACAAGUAUGAAUCGCCUCCUCCUCCACCUUACUACUACAAGUCCCCUCCACCACCUCCCUACAAAUAUGAAUCCCCGCCACCACCUCCCUAUAAAUACGAGUCACCACCACCACCACCUUACUAUUACAAAUCUCCUCCACCGCCUCCAUACAAGUAUGAGUCGCCACCACCACCUCCCUACAAAUACGAGUCACCACCACCACCACCUUACAAGUAUGAAUCCCCACCUCCACCUCCGUACAAGUAUGAAUCACCUCCACCGCCUCCAUACAAGUAUGAAUCCCCUCCUCCACCUCCCUACAAAUACGAGUCACCACCCCCACCACCUUAUUACUACAAAUCGCCUCCGCCACCGGAGUAUCAAUCACCUCCUUACGUGUAUAAAUCUCCAC
RNAcentral lists this long non-coding RNA (2667 nucleotides) under Selaginella moellendorffii. RNAcentral describes it as "long non-coding RNA (SMOE_LNC002368)". The record is from RNAcentral. Lineage: Eukaryota; Viridiplantae; Streptophyta; Lycopodiopsida; Selaginellales; Selaginellaceae.